AGGCGAUUGGUCCAGAAGAAAGACGGCGGUCUCCAAAACCGCAGAGGCGGGGGCGGUACCUGCAUCGCCUGCCA
Molecule: transfer RNA, 74 nt
Filed under: Collinsella tanakaei
Lineage: Bacteria; Bacillati; Actinomycetota; Coriobacteriia; Coriobacteriales; Coriobacteriaceae
Description: tRNA-Trp
Rfam family: tRNA
About the family: Transfer RNA (tRNA) molecules are approximately 80 nucleotides in length. Their secondary structure includes four short double-helical elements and three loops (D, anti-codon, and T loops).
Source: RNAcentral